Molecule: long non-coding RNA, 821 nt
Filed under: Musa acuminata (dwarf banana)
Lineage: Eukaryota; Viridiplantae; Streptophyta; Magnoliopsida; Zingiberales; Musaceae
Description: long non-coding RNA (MACU_LNC005828)
Source: RNAcentral
CCAUCUGACUUGGCGCCGUAAUCGGCAAUGUUGUAUGCUGCUUCCCCAUACGACACAAGGUCGUCGAAGACGACCACGAGGAGGAGAACGAUGAAGCUCCUGAGCUGAGCCAUGAAAGCACCGCAGCCUCUACUGAAACCAAUACACUCGGUGGAGGUGUUUGAGAGCUUGAUGAAUGGACUGCUGAUAUUUAUAGGGUUCGUGUGAAGGUGUUUGUGUUGGUGGCUGAAGGAUGAAGGACGAAGCAAACACAGCCCGAGAUUUCCGAGGGAACACUCCCUCAGGUGUAUGCAUGUGAGAGAAUGCUGUAUUUUAUUAGCAUUUCUGCUUUUGGAUUCUUGGGUUUGGCAUUUUUAGAAGACAAGUAGGCACUAGAAAACGGGUUCUUCGAUCCGUCAAGGGAGAAGAAAUCCAAGAAUACCAUGUGCACUUGGUGUUGAAAGUCAACCGAGGUAGGAACACGGUGAGACCAUUUCGGUUGCUGCAAUCAAGAUCUCGAUGGCAACUGCUGCUGCCAUUCUUGAACUCGGGUUUAGCUUGCAAGUCAUCUGAUUGGGUUCUGCAUUCUUGUUGGAAGAGCUAAUCGAGUUUGAGUGGCACGAACUGGUUGAUAAGAAAGGCAUCAAACCUCGUCAUGCACUGUGACAAAUUUAGAUGAGUGGAGUUAAAAGCGGAGAUGAAGGCGGCAUUAAUUUGAGAUGUUAAAGUCAAAGAAGUAACAUUUCCGUCAACCAUAGGAAAUAUUGGCCUCUAAGUGUGGUUUUUUGUUCCUUGGUUAAUCGGUAUACCCCAAAGUCACAAGCCACCAAAUCAUACCUGUG